GAUGAACGCUGGCGGCGUGCCUAAUACAUGCAAGUCGAGCGAAGCGGGGACGGGUGAGUAACACGUGGAUAACCUCCUAUAAGACUGGGAUAACUUCGGGAAACCGGAGCUCAACCGGAUACUUUUAGAUGUAUCCGCGCUGCAUUAGCUAGUUGGUGAGGUAACGGCGUACCACUGAAACGAUGCAUAGCCGACCUGAGAGGGUGAGCAGCAACACUGGAACUGAGACACGGUCCAGACUACUACGGGAGGCAGCAGUAGGGAAGCUUCCGCAAUGGGCGAAAGCCUGACAGAGCAACGCCGCGUGAGUGAUGAAGGUCUUCGGAUCGUAAAACUCUGUUAUUAGGGAAGCGGUACCUACUCAGAAAGCCACGGCUAACUACGUGCCAGCAGCCGCGGUAAUUC
Molecule: ribosomal RNA, 405 nt
Filed under: uncultured bacterium
Lineage: Bacteria
Description: partial 16S ribosomal RNA
Rfam family: Bacterial small subunit ribosomal RNA
Source: RNAcentral